UCCUUUCCAAGAAUUCGUGGUUUAGCAAUUCCUUCUAUUCUGAAAAGAAGAAUAUAUUGCCACGUUCAAAGGAUCUGAAUACUUCUGCUACGACUUGUCUCAAAACCCCAUUCAAAGCAGCAGUGAUGAAAUAACUCUGUCAUUUAAAACCCUUCAGAGGAAUGGACUGAUGCUUCACACUGGGAAAUCGGCUGAUUAUGUCAAUCUUGCCCUGAAAAAUGGAGCUGUCUCUCUGGUCAUUAAUUUGGGAUCAGGGGCCUUUGAAGCACUAGUGGAGCCUGUGAAUGGAAAGUUUAAUGAUAAUGCCUGGCAUGAUGUGAAAGUCACCAGGAAUCUGCGUCAGGUGACAAUAUCAGUGGAUGGGAUUCUUACCACAACGGGCUACACGCAAGAAGAUUAUACCAUGCUGGGGUCUGAUGACUUUUUCUAUGUUGGAGGCAGUCCCAGCACAGCCGACCUUCCAGGGUCACCAAUCCAGCAUGAAAGCACCUUUGCUGAAGACCCGAUGUUCCAGAGUCAAACGGCACAACUUUAAAUUCAAUAUUCUGCUAUUGUUUAUGUAGGAUUGGGGGAGGGAAACAGCUCAUAGAUCAUUAUGAAGGAAUUAGGUUCCUCUUCUUUAUUAGUCUGUAAGUAAUUUACAUUUGAGAUUUGUGUGGACAGUUGAUAUUAGCUAUAAAAGAAAGUCAAACAAAAAGAGAUACUGGGUCUAAAGUUAAGCUAAAUGGUUUACUUGCUUAUUUCUACCUAAAUGCCAUAGGUGUUAUGCAUACAGUGAUGACUUUUUUGACUAUUA
This 796-nucleotide small RNA is filed under the name Pan troglodytes (chimpanzee). Its description in RNAcentral is "processed transcript". Lineage: Eukaryota; Metazoa; Chordata; Mammalia; Primates; Hominidae. The record is from RNAcentral.